Molecule: long non-coding RNA, 1594 nt
Organism: Anolis carolinensis (green anole)
Lineage: Eukaryota; Metazoa; Chordata; Lepidosauria; Squamata; Anolidae
Exons: 4
Source: RefSeq, a predicted model, not a curated record
UUUACAAUGGGCUACAUUCCAUCCAAGCAGAACCAGAGGAGAGUCUGGGAAAGAGGCCAGUGCUAUUCAGAAAAGUUUUAGCUGGCAGCUCAUCUCCAAAAAUGACUCUUAAUGAAGUAAGAACAGCAUACAGCGUGCCUUCCAAAUGUCCCGAUUUGCUUACUUCAACUGCUGAAAUUGCUGUGUUCAAAGGGCAAAAGUAAUGAAGUAGAGGUGAGGAAGGCUUUGAAUCUUGGCCUUCUCAGUAGCCUCAGCCAGAUCAAAUUGCUGCAAUCUCUCCAAACUUGUCAGUUCAAUAUAACAUUGAUGUUGAGCUCCAGCUCCCGAAGGACUCAAGGCGGCUUACACUGGGACAAGCCCAAAACUGUAUUACAUCAAUAAAAACAAUAACACAAUAAAAUCACAGUAUAAUAACACACCUUAUAAAAAUUAAUAUAACAUAAAACAUAGACGGUAAUCUCAAUCAGUGUUAGGAAUGGCAAACAUGAAGCUUUCUAGAUUUGCUAAAUUGCAUCUUCAAUGAUCUAUGGUUCUAUUAGGUGGUUGGAGUUGCUGUCCAACAACAUCCAAUAGACUACAAUUCCUCCCUUCAAGUCUACCAAGUCCAUCUUUCCCCUGAUCACCUGCCCUCAGUGGGAAAUAUUUGUGUGGUACCUGGACAACUCAAACAUUUGGAUUGAUAAUUCUAGAAUGGCUCACCUGAACAAUGUUGGCAUUCUUAACUUUUUACUUCCAAAUCCCAGAUUUAGCCUCCUGUGAACAACAGAGCUCCUCUACUUGGUGACACUUUAAACUCCUCCUUUAAUCCUUCACUAACAAAGACCUAUCCAGCCUUGCUCCCUAACUACCAUUGUGACCUUUGUGGGCAGGCAACCCUGUGCAUUCUGGGAGGUGUGGCAAGAGUAAGCUUGUCCAUGUUUAGUGUUGUCAUCUGAUAAGUUUUAAUACAAAGUCACUCUGAUUUAAAAGACAGAAGCGGUUGACAGCACCUCUGUUUUAUGCUGGUCAGAACUGCAUUGCGUAGCUGUAUAGAAGCAUCCUGUGUCUCUUACACAACCCAGUGCAAACUUUAAGAUAUGCAGAGGAGGGCUUUCUUGUGGUCUCAGCACCUUAAAGGGAAGUUUGGUGGAAACAUGAGAGAACUGUGUGUGGCUAUUCUUCGACUCUGAAACACUCUUCCAUCAAUAGAUGACAUUUCCUCCAAGAAGACAACUCUCCCCAUGUUAUACUAUCUUCAGAUUCCUUGCAAGACACACUACCUAUCAGGAAAAAAUGCUCAUUUUGUAUAUCGACAUCAACCAACACUCAAUCAUGUUUUGUGAUAAAAAGCUUUUAUUUUAUAUAAAAGUAAUAAGAAAUUCUUAAGAACUUUACAACUUCUACAAAAGGAAAGUAAAGGCAUAAAGCAUCAGUAAUGGUACGUACGCUGUAACUGUACAAAUCUGCUUACCCCUCACCCAGAUAUUUUAGUUCCUCGGUCACAUUAUUGUAGAAAACGCCAUGAAGAAGUAGACAUGCACAUUAGGUACUUUAUAACAUAGUAACAUUCAGUGUCAUAAACAACUAUUUUUCAGCUACAUGGGUUAUACAUUUU